Molecule: ribosomal RNA, 240 nt
Filed under: uncultured bacterium
Lineage: Bacteria
Description: partial 16S ribosomal RNA
Rfam family: Bacterial small subunit ribosomal RNA
Source: RNAcentral
AGUAACGCGUAGAUAAUCUACCCCUAUAUCUGGGAUAACCAAUCGAAAGGCUGGCUAAUACCGGAUAAUUUUAUAACACCGCAAGGUGUCUUAAGUAAAGGUGACCUCUCGUAGAAGUUGCCGUAUAGGGAUGAGUUUGCGUACCAUUAGCUAGUAGGUGGGGUAAUGGCCCACCUAGGCUACGAUGGUUAGCGGGUCUGAGAGGAUGAUCCGUCACACUGGAACUGAAACACGGACCAG